Molecule: ribosomal RNA, 253 nt
Filed under: uncultured bacterium
Lineage: Bacteria
Description: partial 16S ribosomal RNA
Rfam family: Bacterial small subunit ribosomal RNA
Source: RNAcentral
UACGUAGGGAGCAAGCGUUGUCCGGAAUCAUUGGGCGUAAAGCGCGCGUAGGUGGCUUCGUAAGUCCGUUGUGAAAGUCAAAGGCUCAACCUUUGAAAGCCGAUGGAUACUGCGGAGCUAGAGUACGGAAGAGGCGAGUGGAAUUCCUGGUGUAGCGGUGGAAUGCGCAGAUAUCGAGAGGAACACCUGCGGCGAAGGCGGGUAGCUGGGCCGACACUGACGCUGAGGCGCGAAAGCCAGGGGAGCGAACGGG